CCUACGGGAGGCUGCAGUGGGGAAUAUUGGACAAUGGGGGCAACCCUGAUCCAGCCAUGCCGCGUGUAUGAAGAAGGCCCUCGGGUUGUAAAGCACUUUCAGUGAGGAAGAACGCCUGGUGGUUAAUACCCAUCAGGAAAGACAUCACUCACAGAAGAAGCACCGGCUAACUCCGUGCCAGCAGCCGCGGUAAUACGGAGGGUGCGAGCGUUAAUCGGAAUUACUGGGCGUAAAGCGCGCGUAGGUGGCUUGAUAAGCCGGUUGUGAAAGCCCCGGGCUCAACCUGGGAACGGCAUCCGGAACUGUCAAGCUAGAGUGCAGGAGAGGAAGGUAGAAUUCCCGGUGUAGCGGUGAAAUGCGUAGAGAUCGGGAGGAAUACCAGUGGCGAAGGCGGCCUUCUGGACUGACACUGACACUGAGGUGCGAAAGCGUGGGUAGCAAACAGGAUUAGAUACCCUUGUAGUC
RNAcentral lists this ribosomal RNA (465 nucleotides) under Vreelandella stevensii. RNAcentral describes it as "partial 16S ribosomal RNA". It matches the Rfam family "Bacterial small subunit ribosomal RNA", at positions 338 to 795 of the family's 1533-position model. The record is from RNAcentral. Lineage: Bacteria; Pseudomonadati; Pseudomonadota; Gammaproteobacteria; Oceanospirillales; Halomonadaceae.